RNAcentral lists this ribosomal RNA (241 nucleotides) under uncultured Staphylococcus sp. RNAcentral's name for it is "partial 16S ribosomal RNA". It matches the Rfam family "Bacterial small subunit ribosomal RNA", at positions 99 to 334 of the family's 1533-position model. The record is from RNAcentral. Lineage: Bacteria; Bacillati; Bacillota; Bacilli; Caryophanales; Staphylococcaceae.
CGGACGGGUGAGUACCACGUGGAUAACCUACCUAUAAGACUGGGAUAACUUCGGGAAACCGGAGCUAAUACCGGAUAAUAUUUUGAACCGCAUGGUUCAAAAGUGAAAGACGGUCUUGCUGUCACUUAUAGAUGGAUUCGCGCUGCAUUAGCUAGUUGGUAAGGUAACGGCUUACCAAGGCAACGAUGCAUAGCCGACCUGAGAGGGUGAUCGGCCACACUGGAACUGAGACACGGUCCAG